UGAUAAUUAUAAAAUAAAAUAACGGUUUGUGAUGAAUUUUGUGGUCAUAGAGCCCUGAAGCUGAUAUAAUAAUACCCUUGAUUUAAUCGAAAGUACACAAGGAUUGUCAAUGGCCCCCAUUGUUUUAUUUUCCUCCAUUGAUAACUCUGGUGACCAAGCAUAUUAUUUGACAUGUUACUACAUUGUUGUCACUUUCAUGUUUAUAUUUGUUUACUUUUAUGAUAUAAACAAAUUUACAAGGUCGACAACCUAGUAGCUACAUGGCAUUUUUACAUGCAAAUUG
This 283-nucleotide long non-coding RNA is filed under the name Mytilus galloprovincialis (Mediterranean mussel). Lineage: Eukaryota; Metazoa; Mollusca; Bivalvia; Mytilida; Mytilidae. The record is from RNAcentral.